This 340-nucleotide long non-coding RNA is filed under the name Panax ginseng (ginseng). RNAcentral's name for it is "long non-coding RNA (PGIN_LNC013313)". Lineage: Eukaryota; Viridiplantae; Streptophyta; Magnoliopsida; Apiales; Araliaceae. The record is from RNAcentral.
AGCAAAUCAGGCAAGUAUCUUACCUUUGCAUUUCCUUUAUGCAAUGAACAUGAGUAAGAGAGUUUCAGAAUUCUUUUCUAUUCCUGUACAGAUUAUGUACGCUUUGAUUAUCAACAUGUUAGCUCAGAUAUAUAUUCUGUUCAUUGAUUUCUAAAUGGUUAUACAAGUGUCCCCACUUGGAUAAUCAUGACAUUUAUUCACAUGUUGAUACACUUUUUCAAUUACCCGUAUACAUAAAUGUUGAAUUACAUAUUAUUGUUGAGCAAGAUUAAAAACCUUCGGGUUUGGAACCAGGCAUGUAUGAACAUCCCUAUAUGGGAAAAUUUUUGCGGAAUAAAAC